RNAcentral lists this ribosomal RNA (383 nucleotides) under uncultured bacterium. Its description in RNAcentral is "bacterial SSU rRNA". It matches the Rfam family "Bacterial small subunit ribosomal RNA", at positions 29 to 410 of the family's 1533-position model. The record is from RNAcentral.
AUUAAACGCUGGCGGCAUGCCUUACACAUGCAAGUCGAACGGCAGCACGGGGGCAACCCUGGUGGCGAGUGGCGGACGGGUGAGUAAAGCAUCGGAACGUAUCCUGGAGUGGGGGGAUAACGUAGCGAAAGUUACGCUAAUACCGCAUAUUCCUGUGAGCAGGAAAGCAGGGGAUCGCAAGACCUUGCGCUCUGGGGAGCGGCCGAUGUCGGAUUAGCUAGUUGGUGGGGUAAAGGCCUACCAAGGCGACGAUCCGUAGCGGGUCUGAGAGGAUGAUCCGCCACACUGGGACUGAGACACGGCCCAGACUCCUACGGGAGGCAGCAGUGGGGAAUUUUGGACAAUGGGCGGAAGCCUGAUCCAGCCAUGCCGCGUGAGUGAAG